Molecule: long non-coding RNA, 238 nt
Filed under: Phasianus colchicus (ring-necked pheasant)
Lineage: Eukaryota; Metazoa; Chordata; Aves; Galliformes; Phasianidae
Description: lncRNA (ENSPCLG00000013390.1)
Source: RNAcentral
CUCUGAAGUUGUUUAGCCUUAUUUGAAAAUGCCUUAUGCAUUAUUUCAGGUGUAAGAAGAUGAUGAUGAGAGGCCUGCAGAAGCCAGGCAAAGAAGCCUUGAAUGCUGCCUAGACCUCUGUUAACCUUUCGUCCUGCCAUCCACCAUCCUGCCAAUACUCUGAUCUCUGGUUCAUGGAUCCUGAACUCCUGAAGCUGAUCUUGCCCCUUUGAUAAAAAGGCGAAUUACAUGAUUUGAU